UCCCGUUUAGCUCAGUUGGUAGAGCGCGUCACUAGUACCAUCUGCAAGGCAUUGUUUAUGACGAGGUCAGUCGUUCAAAUCGGCUAACGGGAA
Molecule: transfer RNA, 93 nt
Filed under: Polyporus arcularius HHB13444
Lineage: Eukaryota; Fungi; Basidiomycota; Agaricomycetes; Polyporales; Polyporaceae
Description: tRNA-Thr
Rfam family: tRNA
About the family: Transfer RNA (tRNA) molecules are approximately 80 nucleotides in length.
Source: RNAcentral